Molecule: ribosomal RNA, 506 nt
Filed under: uncultured bacterium
Lineage: Bacteria
Description: partial 16S ribosomal RNA
Rfam family: Bacterial small subunit ribosomal RNA
Source: RNAcentral
AUUGAACGCUGGCGGCAGGCCUAACACAUGCAAGUCGAACGGCAGCACAGAAAAGCUUGCUCUUUGGGUGGCGAGUGGCGGACGGGUGAGUAAUGUCUGGGAAACUGCCCGAUGGAGGGGGAUAACUACUGGAAACGGUAGCUAAUACCGCAUAACGUCGCAAGACCAAAGUGGGGGACCUUCGGGCCUCACACCAUCGGAUGUGCCCAGAUGGGAUUAGCUAGUAGGUGGGGUAAUGGCUCACCUAGGCGACGAUCCCUAGCUGGUCUGAGAGGAUGACCAGCCACACUGGAACUGAGACACGGUCCAGACUCCUACGGGAGGCAGCAGUGGGGAAUAUUGCGCAAUGGGCGCAAGCCUGAUGCAGCCAUGCCGCGUGUAUGAAGAAGGCCUUCGGGUUGUAAAGUACUUUCAGCGGGGAGGAAGGCGGUGAGGUUAAUAACCUUGCCGAUUGACGUUACCCGCAGAAGAAGCACCGGCUAACUCCGUGCCAGCCGCCGCCGUAA